AACCAUUAAUAUGAAUCUACUCAGUAUUUCUAACUAAUUAAUGAUCAGGUUCGAGGAUGGCUCGAUCAAUCCAACCAUCAUCAGAUAGUACAAUAGAGUCAUCAUAUGAUGAAUGAUAAUUUCAUCAUUCAGAGAGAACACCAGACGGAUGGCGCCUGCAAUGUCCAUCAGAAAUAUUGGACCCAUUAUCAUUCACCUUAAUGGGAGGCUAUGAUCUAGUUAUCUCCAUAACUAGCUUAUUUUAUGAACCUAAUAAUUUAAAAAAAAUUAAGAAUCAAUUUAGAGAGGAGAUGAAAAGAGAUCAACCAGUAAACCACAAUCCUCCCACUGACUUCACUAAGUCAUUGAAUUAGAUUAGGGUCAUACUAGUUAAAAUGGCACCU
Molecule: long non-coding RNA, 383 nt
Filed under: Elaeis guineensis (African oil palm)
Lineage: Eukaryota; Viridiplantae; Streptophyta; Magnoliopsida; Arecales; Arecaceae
Description: long non-coding RNA (EGUI_LNC050775)
Source: RNAcentral